RNAcentral lists this ribosomal RNA (279 nucleotides) under uncultured bacterium. Its description in RNAcentral is "partial 16S ribosomal RNA". It matches the Rfam family "Bacterial small subunit ribosomal RNA", at positions 506 to 784 of the family's 1533-position model. The record is from RNAcentral.
UGCCAGCCGCCGCGGUAAUACGGAGGGGGUUAGCGUUGUUCGGAAUUACUGGGCGUAAAGCGCACGUAGGCGGACUGGAAAGUUGGGGGUGAAAUCCCAGGGCUCAACCCUGGAACUGCCUCCAAAACUAUCAGUCUAGAGUUCGAGAGAGGUGAGUGGAAUUCCGAGUGUAGAGGUGAAAUUCGUAGAUAUUGGGUGGAACACCAGUGGCGAAAGCGGCUCUCUGGUUCGAUACUGACGCUGAGGCGCGAAAGCGUGGGGAGCAAACAGGAUUAGAUA